AAACUUUACAAUGCGGGAAACCGCGAUAAGGGGAUACUGAGUGCCAGCAUAUUAUGUUGGCUGUCCACCUGUAUAAACAGCAGGUGUUAGCAAGGGCCGGGCAAGACCGGUGCCAGCCGCCGCGGUAACACCGGCGGCCCGAGUGGUGGCCACUAUUAUUGGGUCUAAAGGGUCCGUAGCCGGUUUGAUCAGUCUUCCGGGAAAUCUGACAGCUCAACUGUUAGGCUUCUGGGGGAUACUGUCAGACUUGGGACCGGGUGAGGUAAGAGGUACUACAGGGGUAGGAGUGAAAUCUUGUAAUCCUUGUGGGACCACCAGUGGCGAAGGCGUCUUACAGAACGGGUCCGACGGUGAGGGACGAAAGCUGGGGGCACGAACCGGAUUAGAUACCCGGGUAGUCCCAGCCGUAAACGAUGCUCGCUAGGUGUCUGGGACGGUGCGACCGUUUCAGGUGCCGCAGGGAAGCCGUGAAGCGAGCCACCUGGGAAGUACGGCCGCAAGGCUGAAACUUAA
Molecule: ribosomal RNA, 513 nt
Filed under: uncultured archaeon
Lineage: Archaea
Description: bacterial SSU rRNA
Rfam family: Archaeal small subunit ribosomal RNA
Source: RNAcentral